RNAcentral lists this transfer RNA (74 nucleotides) under Laccaria bicolor S238N-H82. RNAcentral describes it as "tRNA-Ala (AGC) (tRNA-Ala-AGC-7-1)". It matches the Rfam family "tRNA". Rfam says of the family: Transfer RNA (tRNA) molecules are approximately 80 nucleotides in length. Their secondary structure includes four short double-helical elements and three loops (D, anti-codon, and T loops). The record is from RNAcentral. Lineage: Eukaryota; Fungi; Basidiomycota; Agaricomycetes; Agaricales; Hydnangiaceae.
GGGCACAUGGUGUAGUUGGUUAUCACGCCCGUGGAGCGUGUGGGCGGUCCCUGGUUCAAUUCCGAGUGUGUCCA